UACGUAGGGUGCGAGCGUUAAUCGGAAUUACUGGGCGUAAAGCGUGCGCAGGCGGUGAUGUAAGACAGGUGUGAAAUCCCCGGGCUUAACCUGGGAACUGCAUUUGUGACUGCAUCGCUGGAGUGCGGCAGAGGGGGGAUGGAAUUCCGCGUGUAGCAGUGAAAUGCGUAGAUAUGCGGAGGAACACCGAUGGCGAAGGCAAUCCCCUGGGCCUGCACUGACGCUCAUGCACAAAGCGUGGGGGAGCAAACAGG
RNAcentral lists this ribosomal RNA (254 nucleotides) under uncultured bacterium. RNAcentral describes it as "partial 16S ribosomal RNA". It matches the Rfam family "Bacterial small subunit ribosomal RNA", at positions 524 to 776 of the family's 1533-position model. The record is from RNAcentral.